GACAGAGGGGGCAAGCGUUGCUCGGAAUUACUGGGCGUAAAGGGCGCGUAGGCGGGAUGGCAAGUCGGUCGUGAAAUCCCUCGGCUCAACUGAGGAUCGUCGAUCGAUACUGCCGUUCUUGAGGAUUGCAGAGGAGACUGGAAUUCCCGGUGUAGCGGUGAAAUGUGUAGAGAUCGGGAGGAACACCGGUGACGAAGGCGGGUCUCUGGGCAAUUCCUGACGCUGAGGCGCGAAAGCGUGGGGAGCAAACGGG
Molecule: ribosomal RNA, 253 nt
Filed under: uncultured bacterium
Lineage: Bacteria
Description: partial 16S ribosomal RNA
Rfam family: Bacterial small subunit ribosomal RNA
Source: RNAcentral